AUUCAAAAUUAAUCCGCACCUGUACUGUAAGAUACAUUCUUUAAACAGUGGUAAAAGAGGAUGUGGUGCUGAUCCUUCAAGAGUCACUCAAAACAUAUCUGUCCCUAAGCCUAUAAAGAAUUAUUCUUAAUAUACAGUUCACAAUACUUCAGCUUGUUAUUCUAAUUAAGUGAGGGUCAUUUUAUCAGUAAAAUACAUAAAAUUCAUAUUAUUUUUCUUUGAAAGAUUUCUAUAAAUGAUUUAAAUCAUUAUACUUGUUUCUACAAUAAUUAUUUAAAAGUAAUCCUAUAGCUCCAUCUGGUGGCCAUUAUUGGUACUAAGAAUUGCAAGCUUGAUUUAUAAGUUAUGAUAGUUUUAAUUUUAUGCUGGCUCUUGAAAAUGAUAAAGCUAUGAAACUUACUGUGCUUCCUUCAAAUGAGGACUUCUACUUAUAUAAAAAAUUAUGAAGAGUUAGAAUGAAAAAUUUUAAAGAUAUAGUAAAAUAACUAUGGUAUUUUUUAUGUUACUUUAAUAAAUCUCUAUGGCAACACCAUUUAAGCUAUCCUAAACCCAUUCACAAUUUAACAUCUCAGUAUAUUGGCAUAAUGUUGAAAAAGGAGUAUGGAGUAGUAUGAGGAGGAGUAUGAAUUCAUUUACAGGCUGAUUUUAUCAUAAAUCCACAAUAAAAUUUCUGAGUUCUGUA
This is a long non-coding RNA of Carassius gibelio (silver crucian carp), 682 nucleotides long. RefSeq lists it as uncharacterized. The transcript is spliced from 2 exons. The record is from RefSeq and is a predicted model, not a curated record. NCBI's taxonomy places the organism in Eukaryota, Metazoa, Chordata, Actinopteri, Cypriniformes, Cyprinidae.